Molecule: transfer RNA, 83 nt
Filed under: Xenopus laevis (African clawed frog)
Lineage: Eukaryota; Metazoa; Chordata; Amphibia; Anura; Pipidae
Rfam family: tRNA
About the family: Transfer RNA (tRNA) molecules are approximately 80 nucleotides in length. Their secondary structure includes four short double-helical elements and three loops (D, anti-codon, and T loops). Further hydrogen bonds mediate the characteristic L-shaped molecular structure. tRNAs have two regions of fundamental functional importance: the anti-codon, which is responsible for specific mRNA codon recognition, and the 3' end, to which the tRNAs corresponding amino acid is attached (by aminoacyl-tRNA synthetases). tRNAs cope with the degeneracy of the genetic code in two manners: having more than one tRNA (with a specific anti-codon) for a particular amino acid; and 'wobble' base-pairing, i.e. permitting non-standard base-pairing at the 3rd anti-codon position.
Source: Rfam by way of RNAcentral
ACAAGGAUGGCCGAGUUGUUAAGGCGUAGGACUUAAGAUCCAAUCGAUGUAUAUCCACUAGGGUUCGAACCCCCCUCCUGAUA